CCUACGGGUGGCAGCAGUGGGGAAUAUUGCACAAUGGGGGAAACCCUGAUGCAGCGACGCCGCGUGAGCGAUGAAGGAUUUCGGAUUGUAAAGUCCUAUUAGUAGGGAAGAUAAUGACGGUAUCUGACUAAGAAGCACCGGCUAACUCCGUGCCAGCAGCCGCGGUAAUACGGAGGGGGCAAGCGUUAUCCGGAUUUACUGGGCGUAAAGGGCGCGUAGACGGGUGUGCAAGUCAGAUGUGAAAGCCCAGGGCUCAACCACGGAACUGCAUUUGAAACUGUGUGGCUAGAGUAUCGGAGAGGUAGGCGGAAUUCCUGGUGUAGCGGUGAAAUGCGUAGAUAUUAAGAGGAACACCAGUGGCGAAGGCGACCUGCUAGACGAUAACUGACGUUGAGGCGCGAAAGCGUGGGGAGCAAACAGGAUUAGAUACCCGGGUAGUC
Molecule: ribosomal RNA, 440 nt
Filed under: uncultured bacterium
Lineage: Bacteria
Description: partial 16S ribosomal RNA
Rfam family: Bacterial small subunit ribosomal RNA
Source: RNAcentral